RNAcentral lists this long non-coding RNA (3077 nucleotides) under Homo sapiens (human). RNAcentral's name for it is "HSALNT0373357". The record is from RNAcentral. Lineage: Eukaryota; Metazoa; Chordata; Mammalia; Primates; Hominidae.
AGCUGCUCAUGGGGAAUUCAGCAGCUGCUUCAGGCCCUCCAGGGCAUUUCUUGCUGGCAUCUUCUGCCUCACCAGAUCGCCCUGAUUAUUAGUGAUCUGGGCCCCCUACCUAAUGGAAAACCAGCCACUCUUCUUCCCAGCCCCAAUGGAUAUUGAUGAGGGGUCCUUAAAUCUGGGAUCCUUUCCCCUCCUUGCCCAAUAAUUGAACUCCUAAAAUCCUUUUACUACCUGGGAAUCUGCAAAGACAACCUUGAAUUUGAACUGGAGCUAGAAGGACUUCCUCCGAACGAAUUUGCCCAUAGAUGACUCUCUGGUACAUGGUCUCUGUUGUUCAACUUUCUCUAUUCUGAAGUCUAGAAGACACCCUUGCUUCUGAAAGUGGGGCCUAAGAACCUGCAGCCUCACCAGGGAGCUUGGUAGAAAUCCAGAAUCUGAGGCAGGAUUCUAGACUUAUUGGAUCAGAUUCUGCAUUUCAACAAGAUUCCCCAGUGACCCCCAGGCAUCUUCAAAUUUGAGAGGCCAGGAAAGUGCUCAGGCCCUGCCCUUCCCUUCCCGUUGGCUGGGGAGAAUUCCUGUAAUUUGCCCUGUUUACGGGUCCUUAAUCUCCAACUUCACUGUCCUCGCUUUCCAAAGAAUCCUGAGUGGCUUCCUUCCAACACCUUAUCUGUCUUCCCCCACGCCCCUGAAGCCAGGGCCUCUUUUCUUCAAGGCCACCCCCCAACUCAUCUCAGGCUGAGGCUCCUCUCUUGAGGCCAUAUCCCAUGGUAGCAUUUCUUUGAGGGCUGCUUUUCUGCCGUUUUUCUCCCCAGGUAGGGCCUCUAAAACCGAUGGAAGUGAAGUGCUACACCUCAGAGCUGCUUUAGCCCUUAGAGCUGGCCAGGGUCUGAGUGGGCCUCUCACAGGGCCACAGGACUGCCCUUUCCCCCAGCAUGCCUAGAAGCUGAGACCACUCACACCACAUGAACAUGCUAUCCUUGUUCCUCUUUCCUGCCAGCCUCAACACAACCAGAAUACAGCCCAAUAAUGGCUGCCUACAAAUGGGAGGCACCCAGGGAAGGGAGGGGGUGCUGAUUAAGAACCAGCCUGGAGGAGGAUCAUGGUUUCUCUGAAACAAGAAGGAGGUGAGGGUUGAUGCGGAAGGUAUAUUAGAAAUGCUUCAAGCACUUGAUGCUUUGAGGGUUUGGGGAUUUGAGUUUGGGUUUGUUUUUUAAGCUUAACAAUGUGAAAAAGAUGUCAAAUAACUUUUCUGAACUGUGGCAAUCAGAGCCUUGUCCAGAAUCAUAACUUAAUGGCUUUUUGGCUCUCAAUUUGAUGGUCAGUUUGGCUAACCAACACUUUUUAAUUCUGUGUUAUUUAUUACUCAGUUGAUCCCCCCCAUAAUAUGUUAAAAGCCUACUUCCAACCUGUUAAAAUGUACCCUUGGAGUGCUGUCCAGAUUCACCAUUAAAAUAGUGUCUUUCCAGUCUUAUGUAUUUUAUUCAGCAGUUACUACAGUACUUUUUUUUUUUUUUUUGACAGGAUCUCAUUCUGUUGCCCAGGCUGGAGUCCAGUGGUGUGAUCACAGCUCACUGAAGCUUUGACCUCCUAGGCUCAAGCUAUCUUCCUGCCUCAGGCUCCUGAGUAGCUGGGACUAUAGGCACAUGCCACUAUACCUGGCUAAUUUUUAAUUUUUUGUAGAAACUGGGUCUCGCUAUGUUGCCCAGGCUGGUCUCGAACUCCUGGGUUCAAGCAUUCCUGACACUUUGGCCUCCCAAAGUGCUGGGAUUACAGGCAUGAGAUGCCAUGCCUGGCCAUAUUUUUAUUUUUAAAUCUUUCUAUUUAAAUAAGGAGAGGGAGAGAGAGAGAAAGCUCUAGGUGCAUUUUUUCCAAAUGGACACCUUGCCAUGUUUUCAACACACAUCUAAAGCCUGAAUUGAGAGUAUAAUUUUUCUGUAGAUACAUCACCUUGAGGAAUUUUAUAAACUUCAGUUUCCUCAUCUGAGAAAUGAGGUAGUUGGAUUAGAUGAACUGGCUCAUCAAGUGAGUAUAAGGAGCCUUCCAAAUUUAAGAAUUAUUAACAUUUCCCGGAAGACUAACCAGGCAAUUUUUCUUCUUUAGGUUUGACUUUCUGAGAUGUCAUGGCUUAGUAUUCUUUAAGCAAAUUCUGGAAUGUUCUUGUCCCUUUGGAAUAAUUGUAAUGUGGAUUUGUUCUGUGCAACUGAUGAUAUUCUAAUGUGUUUGGGCAGGUUUAAGUCUAAAUUUCCAAAGUCUCACACCUGUGGUUUUACCAAAAAGGUACUGCUCAAGGAAACCAGUGAUGGGCAAAGGAUGCAUGGUAUAGCUAUGAUGCAAGAGCGCCCUCUGCAGGCCAUGCGAAGAUGAGUCUCUUUCUUAAAGGGUAGCUUUUCCGCUCUUUGUGUAGAGUACAACCCUUCCCUUCCUCCUGUAGCAUUCUCAUCAAGAAACAUUUGUUUAGUGCUUACCCUGAGCUAGGCACAGUGUGCUUAGGGCUGGGAACACAAAAAUAAAAGCAUCCUAGGCUUAAAGGAUCUCACGGUCUAAUGGGGUACAUCCCAAUCAGAUCAUUAUAAUGCAACCUGAGAGGUGUGUCACUGGAGCUGUGCCUCAUGUCCCCAUUAGUUUGCAAUCACAAGUUGCACACAAGAGCCGAAAUCAAACUGUACAGUACAAUGCUUUUUUGUUAGGAGAGAAGGACUGGUGACUCACCCUAGCAUUUUCUCUUUGCACAGAAACAGAUGCCCUGCCCAGAAGCAACACGGCUAAUGGGUGCCACCGUGGAGACCCAGGCAACCUGAGAGUAGUCCUGACAGCCAGACCUCCAGGGUGGAAAUGGGAAGGUCUACAGAGAAAGUGGGAGACAUGAAACUAAACAGGAAUGAUACAUUGACAAUAAAGAACAUGAAGAGAUGGUUCCUGGACACUACAAGAAACCUGUGGUCCCAGCUACUCGAAGACUGAAGUGAGAGGAUCACUUGAGCCCAGAAGGUCGAUGCUACAGUGAGCCAUGAUCAUGCCACUAUACUCCAGCCUAGGUGACAGAGCGAGACUCCAUCUCAGAAAAAAAAAAAAAAAAAAAA